AAGGAAUUCGGCAAAAAUUUAUAUUCGCCUGUUUAUCAAAAACAUGUCUUUUUGUUUAUAAUUUAAAGUCUAAUCUGCCCACUGAUAUUAAAUUAAAGGGCUGCAGUAUUUUGACUGUACAAAGGUAGCAUAAUAAAUAGUCUUUUAAAUGAAGACUGGAAUGAAUGAUUGGACGAGAUAUAAGCUGUCUCAAUUUUAUAUAUUGAAUUUAAUUUUUUUAUUAAAAAGUUAAAAUAUAAUUAAAAGACGAGAAGACCCUAUAGAGUUUUAUAAAAAUAUUAAUUUUGGGUUUAUUAUAAGUUUUUAAUAAAAAUUAAUAGUUUUAUUUUAUUGGGGUGAUAGAAAAAUUUAAUAAACUUUUAUUUAAAAAAACAUAGUUAAGUGAAUUUAAUGAUCCAAAAUUUUUGAUUAUAAGAAAAAAUUACCUUAGGGAUAACAGCGUAAUUUUUUUUUUUAGUUCAAAUAAGAAAAAAAGUUUGCGACCUCGAUGUUGGAUUAAGAUAAAAUUUAAAUGCAAAAGUUUAAAAUUUUGAUCU
RNAcentral lists this ribosomal RNA (536 nucleotides) under Rhodopsona rubiginosa. Its description in RNAcentral is "16S ribosomal RNA". The stretch from base 1 to 191 matches the Rfam family "Archaeal large subunit ribosomal RNA", at positions 1804 to 2099 of the family's 2987-position model. The record is from RNAcentral. Lineage: Eukaryota; Metazoa; Arthropoda; Insecta; Lepidoptera; Zygaenidae.